This is a long non-coding RNA of Oncorhynchus tshawytscha (Chinook salmon), 658 nucleotides long. The record is from Ensembl. NCBI's taxonomy places the organism in Eukaryota, Metazoa, Chordata, Actinopteri, Salmoniformes, Salmonidae.
GGAAGAGUCCAGUGUGUGGAUAGAGUCCCGUGUGUGGGUAGAGUCCAGUGUGUGGGUAGAGUCCAUAGUGUGGAUAGAGUCCCGUGUGUGGGUAGAGUCCAGUGUGUGGGUAGAGUCCAGUGUGUGGAUAAAGUCCAGUGUGUGGGUAGAAUCCAGUGUGUUGAUAGAUUCCAGUGUGUAUAGAGUCCAGUGUGUGGAUAGAGACCAGUGUGUGGGUAGAUUCCAGUGUGUGGAUAGAGUCCAGUGUGUGGAUAGAGUCCAGUGUGUGGAUAGAGUCCAGUGUGUGGGUAGAGUCCAGUGUGUAGGUAGAGUCCAGUGUGUAGGUAGAGUCCAGUGUGUGGGUAGAGUCCAGUGUGUGGGUAGAAUCCAGUGUGUUGAUAGAGUCCAGUGCGUGGAUAGAGUCCAGUGUGUGGAUAGAGUCCAGUGUGUGGAUAGAGUCCAGUGUGUGGGUAGAGUCCAGUGUGUGGGUAGAGUCCAGUGUGUGGGUAGAGUCCAGUGUGUGGGUAGAGUCCAGUGUGUGGGUAGAGUCCAGUGUGUGGAUAGAGUCCAGUGUGUGGAUAGAGUCCCAUGUGUGGGUAGAGUCCAGUGUGUGGGUAGAGUCCAGUGUGUGGAUAGAGUCCAGUGUGUGGGUAGAGUCCAGUGUGUGGAUAGAGUCCAG